CCUACGGGAGGCUGCAGUGGGGGAUAUUGGACAAUGGGGGCAAGCCUGAUCCAGCGACGCCGCGUGAGCGAAGAAGUCUUUCGGGAUGUAAAGCCCUAUCAGCAGGGAAGAAGAAAUGACGGUACCUGACUAAGAAGCACCGGCUAAAUACGUGCCAGCAGCCGCGGUAAUACGUAGGGUGCAAGGGUUAUCCGGAUUUACUGGGUGUAACGGGAGCGCAGGCGGCACGGCAAGCCUGAUGUGAAAGCCAGCGGCCCAACCGCCGGACUGCAUUGGGAACUAGCGGGCUGGAGUGCCGGAGAGGUAGGCGGAAUUCCUAGUGUAGCGGUGAAAUGCGUAGAUAUUAGGAGGAACACCAGUGGCGAAGGCGGCCUACUGGACGGCGACUGACGCUGAGGCUCGAAAGCGUGGGGAGCAAACAGGAUUAGAUACCCCAGUAGUC
Molecule: ribosomal RNA, 442 nt
Filed under: uncultured bacterium
Lineage: Bacteria
Description: partial 16S ribosomal RNA
Rfam family: Bacterial small subunit ribosomal RNA
Source: RNAcentral